GAGACAGGGCUAGCCGGACAGAAGGUCGGGAGAAAUGUGUACUAAACCUGAUAUUUCAGGUGUGGGAGAAUCCCACCUCCCCCAAAACACACACUGCGCACAGGUGCCUGCGAUUCCUGUUAGAGAACAGGGUUAAGGUAUAAUAUACCCUUGUGGGUAGAUGACAGCCAGCGCCUUGAACACGCGCUGUAUUUACAAGGAGAGAGCAGAGGAUACAGGGCAAGGGAGGGGAGGUGGCCGCGGAGACGUCGCUAGGCUGCCUAGGGUCUUCCGGACCGUGGAGAAUGCCCUGAGGUCACACUGGUAUUGAAGCUAUGAAAAAAGAGCAAACAUCUUGCUUGGCUAAGAAGGAGGAGAUGCUGGGUUGAUUCUGUGCAUGCAGUUGGCUGUGUGCCCACCUCAUUGAGGAUCUGAGUGGCGUUCUUUGCUCUUAGCAUGUCGGGCGUAUCUUCCAUUUCACUGAGACCCUUCCCACGGAUGCCUUCCUCUAGAUCUUUCCUGUACUCUUUCUACGGCACAGAAUACAAGCAACAAUGCUGACAAGAAAGCCUGGAUUAUUCCUCUUUGGUGAAGAGCCAAAACAAAAUAAAAAAUCCUUCUAAUUUUAAAGAGUUACAGUUUAGUAAAUAAAGAUAUGAAUAAAGGCAGGGUAUAAGCUUCAUCAGUUAAUAUUCAAUGUCAAAUAAGAAACUAGAAAUUAAUAGAAGGCUGAGGGACUUGAACUGUAUAUUGGCGCUUCUAAAGACUGAAGAGCAGGUCCAAGAAUUAGAACGUUUCUUGCCACUGAGACUGUAAAACAGGGUGAAAGCUAUGAGUGAAAACAUUUUGAGCAGUUUAUACUGUUGAUUCAGGAUGAGAUCCUCAGUCUGUUUUCAGCUUUUGAUUGGUGUCAGCAGCCUAAAGAAGUUAGGAGGCCAUCUCCAAAUCUACUCUACCUUCCUGUUCCAAAGGCAUGUUCCAGAGGGAAAGUUUCAUGCAGGAAAAGACAGAUGCUCCGUUUGGGUGGCAUCUUCUGAGAAGAUAGUCCUGCUAAAGGAGAGCCUGGCGGUAGGAUGGUUCUUACCUCACUCAUUUGCAGAGAAUUGGCUUUUGCCAGGACAACCUCUGGCGUGUCGACAAUGGAAGUGAAUUUCAAGGCUUCUGGGCGUGUCCUGUAGAGUCUUUCAUUCAGCAGGUCUUGAGCACCCUUCACCCUGGUCAUUUCUACUGAGCCUUCUGGCAUCCAGCCAAUGCCACGCAGCCAAUCCAGGUCUGCUUUGUACACAUUCUACAGAGACAUUAGACAGAAAUAUUGUUCCAAGUGCUAGACAUAGCAGCCCUUAAUUGGAAAGUAAGUUCACGGGGUUGAGGGGUUGAUAAGCACAGGAGAUGGUGGUUCCAAAAAAGUAGGACCCGAGAUUUUACAUGAAUCAGGGGUUUCAAUAUCCAUGACAGAGUAAUUUGUAAAAGCAUAAUUUUUUAUGCUAGCCAUGAAUAAGGAUAAAAUGGUAAUAAUGCUAAAUUCCAUGGUAAUUAUUUGAUAUUGCAAAGAAAUUAUAUAACUGGAAAACAAUUUAAAGAUAUUGUGCCAAAUCUCAUUUCAUUUUCAUCCUGUAAUAGGAUGAAACUCUGUUAAGUGUUUUGGAUAUAGUACAAGAGUGGCAGUUAUUUUUUAAAUGUUCAGAUAAUUUAUGCUUAUUUGAAAUAUAUUUUCAUUGCCAGACAGUACAAAGGACAUGAAAAAAGUAGUCUGGAAUCUAGGCCAGGGAAGACAUGAUCUAAGUAGGGUUCUUCAUCUAUGUUCUUUGAUUCCCAUAACAUAACUCCUAAAUACGGGUUUUGUUUUAACAAUGUGAAUGGCUCCCCCUGAGGUUGUGCAGUGAGCAACCCAUGGGUCUGUCCACAGAGGCACUGUCUGUACAAUUAACAAAUCUAUGUCCUCCCAUUCCUCCUUUCCCAAAGAUCACGUUACGUACAUCACUCUGUAGUUCAUAGGCCUUCCUUGCUUGGAUAAUGUCGUUUUGAUCAGGUAAGCACGUCCAGUGAUGCAGGUAAUUUCGAUAAUCAACGUUACUGACCAGAAUCUGACAUUUCUUGGCCAGCAAGAUGCCUAACAUGUCCACUGGGCUACUGAACUUGGUCUUCCACUUCUGGAAAUCCUUCUUAUACUCUCUUUCACUUUGAAUCUUCCCUGCAUGUAUGGCACACAUAAUCUUGGGGUCAUCUUCAAUGCUCUGGGCUCCAAUGUGGUGGCCUUUCUGUUUCUCAUAUGCUUCUUUGUAUUUGUACUAAAACAUAAGAAAUAUAUGUUUAAAAGCCCAGUUUUAAAACCAUAUGCAUGCUGACAAUUAGACAACAUGAAAACCCACAAGCAAAUGGAUAAGAAUUUCAUAUUUUGAAUAUUUUGACAUCUCUGAACAAUUUUAAACUGUUUUAUGCUGUCAUAAACGUAACAGUAGUGUAAUCAUAUAUCUUCACUGCUGAAAACUUUUUCUGCGACAACUCUAACUACAAUUUCAAAAUCCGUUUUUCUUCUCUGAGACAACAAAGGGAAAGGUCUUGGAAGGUAAGAAGCAUGACUGGAGGGGUAUAUGAGGAAGCAGUUACAAACUGUGGACCACCAGCUGCACUGUGGUGGUUCAGCAAGGUGAGACCAAGGGGGUUAGACAGAGAGCACUUACGUCACUGGCAAUGUCUCUCGAGGCCUUGGCACUCUUGAUGGGAAUAGCAUCAGCUCUCAGAUCAUAGUCCUUCAUCUUUGAUUCAUCCCAUCCCUUGGUGUAAAGUUUCUAGGUGGAGGAUAAUACACAACAGAAAAAGAAAAGAGUUAUAGAAAGUUAACAGGCCACUUCCAGUAAGGAAGGUGGUAAGAUGGGAAAAGUAUUUUAAUUACUCCUAGACUAAAGGCUGACUUAACAAUCAGGAAAUCUCUUACUUGGCUUAUAUUGGCAGAAUUGCUCUUGGCCAGCUUGAUUUCUGGGGUGUCCGGCAUCACGUGGAUGGAGGUUUUGUCAGUAUCCCAGGCUUCUGUAUAUAAAUGCUAUGGGGGAGGUGAGGUAAAACCCUUUGUUAAAGCCAAUACAUUGCAGUUAUUAUAAAAUUUAACUCAUUUAACUGUAAAAUAGCCUUUGAAAACUUAUGUGGAGGUGAGGGAAGCAAAAGGGUAUGGGGAGAGUAAAUCAUGGCAAUAUUUAAACAGACAUAUGAUCGUUUCAUAGCCAAUAUAAAGCAACAUCAUGAUCUCAAUUAUUGAUUCUUUUCAUCCAGUGACUCUCAAGCUUACUCACAGAACCUUCAGGGAUGGAGCUUGGCUAUAGAACUACGAUAUAGUAGAAAUCCCUAGACUUUAGAAUCAAUCCCAAGGUCAAACCCAACUCCCUGAUGUCCAAGCUGUGUGAUCUUGAGAAAGGAUGGAUAAAGAGAUGCUGAUGCCUUGAGUCUGCUGUGCCAAGCAGAAUGUGUAGAGAAAAGUAGUGCAUUUGUGGAUGUCUCUGGGUCACUGCUCAGAAGAGUGUAUGCCUUACUGCAGAGAAAUUGUCCUAGGCUGUACUUCCUCACCCACCCAGAGAAUGAGGGGACACAGGGUUGAGAGAAGCAUGCAGGUCCAACUAGGAUUCAAGCACAUGCUCUGUUGAAGGCCUGCAUGAGAAUUAGGCCCAUCACCUCUCCUUUCUCUGGAAAUCCUCUAGGACAUUUCUCACUUUAUAAACCCAGUCUGUGGAAGGUAUGACACCGGCAACUGGCAAAAGCUGGAGACUCACCUUGCUCAUGGUCAGGGCAUUAUUCUUUGCCAGGACAAUCUCUGGGGUGUCUGUAAUGCAUGUGAACUUGAGCUGGUCUGCAGGCUGGCGGUACUUCCUGUCACUCAGGAUUUCUCCGGCUCUCUUCACAUUCUCGACCUCCACAGAGCCAAUGGGCACCCACCCAAUGCCUCUCAGCCACUCAAGAUCAGCCUUGUAAAUAGCCUGAAAAUGAAACAAUGUCAAAUAUGUGCAGAAAUUACCUCCACAGCCUGAUGUCUAAUCUUGAUUUAGCAUGGUGUAUACAGAUGGUGUAUAAUUCUGCAUCUUGUGUAAAUUUCGGGGAAGACACAGGACUGCCUUACUUUGGUGUAGAAUGGCUAGUCCAGCACUUUGUCCCUGAAGGUAGUCAAUGUUUGCUGUUUUAAAGACCUAUGAAAUCUCUAAUAAUAUGUGAUUUCAUCAAUGAAAAACCAUUUUAAGGAAAUUCCUGCCUGCCUCCCGAUACAAAGUGUUUAUUCUCUGAUUUGAUUGCCUAUACCUCUUUGUAUGGGAAUAAUUCUCUGUUAGAGUAUAGUUUGUUCCUAUCUCUUUGGGCAGGGGCCUUCACAGCCAUUGUGCACCAAAAGAAAGGAUGAACACUUCCACAUGCUAAAUCCACGUGUUUUCUCGGGACAACAAAAAGGGAUCUUUUUUCAGAUGAUUCUAUACUCAUGUUUCUAAGCCAAAGAGUAUAUACAUUUUUACUCUUACUUAUCCUCAGUCCCUCUUCUUGUGUUGUAGUUCAAGUAAAAAAAAAACGAUAUUUUAUCCUGCUUUCAUGUUUCUUCUUUGAACUUAAAUAAAUUGGCUGAAGGAGAAUUUUUCUCAAAAGUAAGAGUAACAAUUCUUUUUGUUUUUAUGGCUUUUUGGGAAACUCUUUUUUACAAUGCCACCACUUUUAUCAUUCUUCCAAAAGUGACUACUUGUCAGAGCCUGAUAAAAAAACAAGGAGCUACUAUACCAGUAAGGUAGUAUUUGAGUCCCAAGGACAAUCUACUGGCUGACAACAAAAAUACUUAACAUAUUUCUAGGGAGACACUGUUUUCAGCUUCUUAGAAAAAUUGUCUUGAUAUAUAUAACUCAUUCUUAUAUUUCCUUCCACAAGCUAUAAUAGAUAUUUUCUAUAAGUUAAGUAGUCAGAAAAAUGAUAAUGCAAUAAAUUCAUUUGGAAAAUCCGGUUGCAUUAAAUCAGGAUUUCUUAACCUGGCAUCAAUGAACUUAGAUAGAAAAAAACAUCUUUAUUUUCAUUAACCUCUAACUGAAACAUAGCAUUUCUUUUAGCUAUAACUAUAGGCAACAGAUUAUGGUAGUAUUAACACUACAUGGAAUUUUAUCAGCAAUAGAAGUCAUAAAUAUUUUCAUAUUUUAUUACAGUUGUUGCAGACAUCUUGCAUAUUUAUGUUCAUCACUUCUUUGAAAUUAAGCUAGUUUUACACCCACUGCUAGAUCUUUUUAUUUAAUGUGUUAAUAAAAAGCAUAUAUAUUACCACACUGUUGGGGGGAAUGUAAAUUGGUGCAGCCACUGUGGAAAACAGUAUGAAGGUUUCUCAAAAAACUAAAAAUAUAUUGGGUUGUUUGUUUUUUUUAAUAUUGAGCUGCAUGAGCUGUUUAUAUAUUUUGGAGAUUAAUCCUUUGUCCAUUGAUUCGUUUGCAAAUGCUUUCUCCCAUUCUGAGGGUUGUCUUCUCAUCUUGUUUAUGGUUUCCCUUGCUGUGCAAAAGCUUUGAAGUUUCAUUAGGUCCCAUUUGUUUAUUUUUGUUUUUAUUUCCAUUACUCUAGGAGGUGGAUCAAAAAGGAUCUUGCUAUGAUUUAUGUCAAAGAGUGUUCUUCCUAUGUUUCCCACUAAGAGUUUUAUAGUGUCUGGUCUUACAUUUAGGUCUCUAAUCCAUUUUGAGUUUAUUUUUGUGUAUGGUGUUAGGGAGUGUUCUAAUUUCAUUCUUUUACAUGUAGCUGUCCAGUUUUCCCAGCACCACUUAUUGAAGAGACUGUCUUUUCUCCAUUGUAUAUCCUUGCCUCCUUUGUCAUAGAUUAGUUGACCAUAGGUGCGUGGGUUUAUCUCUGGGCUUUCUAUCUUGUUCCAUUGAUCUAUGUUUCUGUUUUUGUGCCAGUACCAUAUUGUGUUGAUUACUGUAGCUUUGUAGUAUAGUCUGAAGUCAGGGAGUCUGAUUCCUCCAGCUCCAUUUUUUUCCCGCAAGACUGCUUUGGCUAUUUGGGUUCUUUUGUGUCUCCAUACAAAAAUGGGCAGACCUAAAUAGACAUUUCUCCAAAGAAGACAUACAGAUGGCCAAGAAGCACAUGAAAAGCUGCUCAACAUCACUAAUUAUUAGAGAAAUGCAAAUCAAAAGUACAAUGAGGUACCACCUCACACCAGUUAGAAUGGGCGUCAUCAGAAAAUCUACAAACAACAAAUGCUGGAGAGAGUGUGGAGAAAAGGGAACCCUCUUGCACUGUUGGUGGGAAUGUAAAUUGAUACAGCCACUAUGGAGAACAGUAUGGAGGUUCCUUAAAAAACUAAAAAUAGAACUACCAUAUGACCCAGGAAUCCCAUUACUGGGCAUAUACACUGAGAAAACCAUAAUUCAAAAAGACACAUGCACCCCAAUGUUCAUUGCAGCACUAUUUACAAUAGCCAGGUCAUGGAAGCAACCUAAAUGCCCAUCGACAAACGAAUGGAUAAAGAAGAUGUGGUACAUAUAUACAAUGGAAUAUUACUCAGCCAUAAAAAGGAACGAAAUUGGGUCAUUUGUUGAGACGUGGAUGGAUCUAGAGACUGUCAUACAGAGUGAAGUAAGUCAGAAAGAGAAAAACAAAUAUCGUAUAUUAACGCAUAUAUGUGGAACCUAGAAAAAUGGUACAGAUGAACUGGUUUGCAGGGCAGAAAUUGAGACACAGAUGUAGAGAACAAACGUAUGGACACCAAUGGGAGAAAGUG
Long non-coding RNA from Globicephala melas (long-finned pilot whale), 6691 nucleotides. RefSeq lists it as uncharacterized. NCBI's taxonomy places the organism in Eukaryota, Metazoa, Chordata, Mammalia, Artiodactyla, Delphinidae. The record is from RefSeq and is a predicted model, not a curated record.